UGCAACGUUUUUGUGAGGAGUGCUAUGUCAAAAAAAGAGAAGGAUUUUGGUGUUUUUUGUUUGUUUGUUUUUGCUUUGCCAAUGAUUUUGAUCAAAAGGCUGAGUGGUUUUGCCUCAGACCAAGCCACUUCAUAUCUUCACAGCAAGCAUACAGAAUUCUGGAAUUUGUGGACAGAAUGCAGCAUUUCAGCCGUUCUGGAUCCUUCUGAAGAAAAGCAAGAUGGAAAAUUUAAGAAUAAAUUUUAAAAGGAAGAAAAAUCAGCUGUGCAAUUUUGGAAAGAUGUCCUGUUGUGUCCCUGAGUACAGCAGCUAAUGAGUGUGGGCUGUGUUCUGGAAGAAUUCAGGAGAUGUUGAAGGUGCAUUCAGCAGAGGGGGACAGCUGUAAGAAUCAUAAUUCUAAAAAAAAUGCAUUGCAGGGUGGAAGACAGAAGCCAUAUUCAUUAUUAGGCCCAGAAGAAAGGCACUUUUAAAAACUUCUCUGAAAAAAUAAAAACAGCAAAGACUUUGAGGAAUUUCCUAGUUAUCUUUUCCACUCCACUGACUUUUGGCUCUGCCACCAAAUUGAAACACCAUUUUCUGAACAAUAAUAUCAUGUGCUU
Molecule: long non-coding RNA, 599 nt
Organism: Hemicordylus capensis (graceful crag lizard)
Lineage: Eukaryota; Metazoa; Chordata; Lepidosauria; Squamata; Cordylidae
Exons: 3
Source: RefSeq, a predicted model, not a curated record